This 996-nucleotide long non-coding RNA is filed under the name Gallus gallus (chicken). RNAcentral describes it as "lncRNA (ENSGALG00010007764.1)". The record is from RNAcentral. Lineage: Eukaryota; Metazoa; Chordata; Aves; Galliformes; Phasianidae.
ACCAAAUGGUUGGGUUGGAAAGGGUCUUAAUUGAUCACGGAGGCAUAGAAUGGUUGGGUUGGGUUGGAAGGGGCCUCACAGAUCAUAGAGUCAUAGAGUGGUUGGGUUGGAAAAGACUUUGUAGAUCACAGAGCUGUAGAGUGGUUGGGUUGGAAGGGAUCUUAUCGAUCAUAGAGUCAUAGAGUGGUUGGGUUGGAAAAGACUUUGUAGAUCACAGAGCUGUAGAGUGGUUGGGUUGGAAGGGAUCUUAUCGGUCAUGGAGCCAUGGAAUGGUUGGGUUGGGUUGGAAGGGACCUCAUAGAUCAUAGAGUGGUUGGGUUGGAAGGGACCUCAUAGGUCAUAGGGACGUAAAAUGGUUGGGUUGAGUGGGAAGGGGUCUUAUAGGUCUACCUUACGGAUUGCAGAGCCAUGGGUUGGGUUGGAAGGGACCUCAUAGAUCACAGAGCUGUAGAGUGGUUGGGUUGGAAGGGAUCUUAUCGGUCAUGGAGCCAUGGAAUGGUUGGGUUGAGUUGGAAGGGACCUCAUAGAUCAUAGAGUGGUUGUGUUGGAAGGGACCUCGUAGAUCAUAGAGUUGUAGAGUGAUUGGGUUGGAAGGGACUGUGUGGGUCACAGAGCUGUAGUGUGGUUGGGUUGGGUGGGAUUGGAAGAGUCCUUAUGGAUCACAGAGCCACCAAAUGGUUGGGUUGGAAAGGAUCUUAAUUGAUCACGGAGGCAUAGAAUGGUUGGGUUGGGUUGGAAGGGGCCUCACAGAUCAUAGAGUCAUAGAGUGGUUGGGUUGGAAGGGACUGUGUGGGUCACAGAGCUGUAGAGUGGUUGGGUUGGAAGGGAUCUUAUCGGUCAUGGAGCCAUGGAAUGGUUGGGUUGGGUUGGAAGGGACCUCAUAGAUCAUAGAGUGGUUGGGUUGGAAGGGGCCUUGUAGGUCAUAGGGACGUAAAAUGGUUGGGUUGAGUGGGAAGGGAUCUUAUAGGUCGACCUUACGGAUUGCAGAGCCAUGGG